Molecule: ribosomal RNA, 264 nt
Filed under: uncultured bacterium
Lineage: Bacteria
Description: partial 16S ribosomal RNA
Rfam family: Bacterial small subunit ribosomal RNA
Source: RNAcentral
GACAGAGGUGCCAAGCGUUAGGCGGAAUCACUGGGCCUAAAGCGUGUGUAGGCGGGUCGUUAAGUACCUUGUGAAAUCCCCCGGCUCAACCGGGGAACGGCUGGGUAUACUGGCGAUCUUGAGCCACCUAGGGGCAGUCGGAACAAGUGGUGGAGCGGUGAAAUGCGUAGAGAUCCGGAAGAACACCGGUGGCGAAGGCGGUCUGCUGGGCAGUUGGCUGACACUGAGGCGCGACAGCGUGGGGAGCAAACAGGAUUGAGAUAC